GACGAACGCUGGCGGCGUGCUUAACACAUGCAAGUCGAACGGAAAGGCCCUGCUUUUGUUGGGUGCUCGAGUGGCGAACGGGUGAGUAACACUUGAGUAACCUUCCCUUGCCUUUGGGAUAACUUCAGGAAACUGGUGCUAAUACCGGAUAGUAGCUCCUGCUGCAUGGUGGUGGUUGGAAAGUUUCGGCGGUUGGGUAUGGACUCGCGGCUUAUCAGCUUGUUGGUGGGGUAGUUGCUUACCAAGGCUUUGACGGGUAGCCGGCCUGAGAGGGUGACCGGCCACAUUGGGACUGAGAUACGGGCAAGAGUCAUACGGGAGGCAGCAGUGGGGAAUAGUGCAAAAUGGGCGGAAGCAUGAAGCAGCAACGCCGCGUGCGGGAUGACUGCCUUCGGGGUGUAAACCGCUUUAGCCUGUGACGAAGAGUGAGUGACGGUAAUGGGUAAAGAAGCACCGGCUAACUACGUG
Molecule: ribosomal RNA, 468 nt
Filed under: uncultured bacterium
Lineage: Bacteria
Description: partial 16S ribosomal RNA
Rfam family: Bacterial small subunit ribosomal RNA
Source: RNAcentral